UUCUCGUUCCAAACAAAUUUUUUCCCCUGCUAGCUUAGAAAGUGAAAGAAACUGGAGGUAGGAAGACGAGGCUUUUGUGUCUCAUCUAUGGUGGUGUCUCCCCGAAGUGGAAUCUAGGGCGCGGCGGAAAGAAGGGGAAAGGCGGAGGACUUUUGAGUUUUAUUGGCCGAGAGGCUAGGGCACGGUGUGAUUUGGUUCGAUCUCGGUGUGGAAGCUCGGGGAAUCAACUUAUUGCGUAGUGGUUUUGUGGUUGUGGGAUUUUGGAAACCUUAGAUUUGGGUCAGGGUUGUGUGGUUGGCUGAUUAAGCUAGGGGCGGGGCUGCCCUUGCGAUUGACUGGGUUUUCAUGCUGUCAAAACCACUGCCUUGGGAUCGGAAGGACUUCUUCAAGGAGAGGAGAGGAAGCACGAGAGGUCGGAGUCUUUAAGUUUGCUGCAAGAUAGAGGACUCGCAUCAGGGUUCUUGGGAGUUUGCUCGCCGGAAUCAGCAGACUUGCGCCGUCCUACAGAAGCACGAGAGGUCUGAGUCUUUAGGUUUGCUGCAAGAUAGAGGGACUCGCAUCAGGUUCUUGGGAGUUUGCUCGCCGGGAUCGGUAGACUUUCGCCCCCCUACAGGGACACUUUUCUUUGCCAUGAGCAAUGUUGGUGAGCUUUAUCUUGCAGAAGGACAAUGAUUCCUGAUCUAUCUGAAUGAGGUUUAACACCAAGAACCAGAUUAGGCCUUGGACAACUCAGAUGGAAAUUAAAUCUUGUCUGCAUCACUGCUCCAUCUCCAAAUUGACUUGAGCUUUUCUUAUUUACUGACAUUCUAUUUUUGUACAGAUUUUUAUACACUGGAUCUGUAGAAAUUAUAUUGGAUAUUGCACAAGAUCUCCUCAUA
Long non-coding RNA from Vitis riparia (riverbank grape), 878 nucleotides. RefSeq lists it as uncharacterized. The transcript is spliced from 4 exons. Lineage: Eukaryota; Viridiplantae; Streptophyta; Magnoliopsida; Vitales; Vitaceae. The record is from RefSeq and is a predicted model, not a curated record.